AACGAACGCUGGCGGCAGGCUUAACACAUGCAAGUCGAGCGAGACCUUCGGGUCUAGCGGCGGACGGGUGAGUAACGCGUGGGAACGUGCCCUUCUCUACGGAAUAGCCCCGGGAAACUGGGAGUAAUACCAUAUACGCCCUUUGGGGGAAAGAUUUAUCGGAGAAGGAUCGGCCCGCGUUGGAUUAGGUAGUUGGUGGGGUAAUGGCCCACCAAGCCGACGAUCCAUAGCUGGUUUGAGAGGAUGAUCAGCCACACUGGGACUGAGACACGGCCCAGACUCCUACGGGAGGCAGCAGUGGGGAAUCUUAGACAAUGGGGGCAACCCUGAUCUAGCCAUGCCGCGUGAGUGAUGAAGGCCUUAGGGUUGUAAAGCUCUUUCAGCUGGGAAGAUAAUGACGGUACCAGCAGAAGAAGCCCCGGCUAACUCCGUG
RNAcentral lists this ribosomal RNA (433 nucleotides) under uncultured bacterium. RNAcentral describes it as "partial 16S ribosomal RNA". It matches the Rfam family "Bacterial small subunit ribosomal RNA", at positions 29 to 507 of the family's 1533-position model. The record is from RNAcentral.